GCCUGGGUGGCUCAGUUGGUUAAGCGUCUGACUUUGGCUCAGGUCAUGAUCGUGGGUUUGAGCCCCACGUUGGGCU
This is a non-coding RNA of Hyaena hyaena (striped hyena), 76 nucleotides long. The record is from the annotation of a RefSeq genome assembly. Lineage: Eukaryota; Metazoa; Chordata; Mammalia; Carnivora; Hyaenidae.